This is a non-coding RNA of Chiloscyllium plagiosum (whitespotted bambooshark), 277 nucleotides long. The record is from RefSeq and is a predicted model, not a curated record. NCBI's taxonomy places the organism in Eukaryota, Metazoa, Chordata, Chondrichthyes, Orectolobiformes, Hemiscylliidae.
CGGAAGUGAGGUUGGAGCGCAGAGCUGGUCGGGAAGCUUGUUCGAUUUUCCCAAGAGGAUACACCCUUGUACCAUCUACCCAGUCAGUCAGGAUCUUACAUGUCAACUCUGACUCUUCUGAACUCCAGACCAUAUCAGCCAAAUCUGUCUCAUCUUUCCUCAUAAGUUUCAUUUGAGGACCAGGUGUACAGAAAGAAGUUGCAGUACCAGACAACUGACAGAAAGCUAAUGAAAUUCCAGUAUCCAGAACAUGUCCCAAGAACUACAAACCAGCCAG